This 631-nucleotide ribosomal RNA is filed under the name uncultured Pseudomonadota bacterium. RNAcentral describes it as "bacterial SSU rRNA". It matches the Rfam family "Bacterial small subunit ribosomal RNA", at positions 9 to 643 of the family's 1533-position model. The record is from RNAcentral. Lineage: Bacteria; Pseudomonadati; Pseudomonadota.
GAGUUUGAUCCUGGCUCAGAUUGAACGCUGGCGGCACGCUUAACACAUGCAAGUCGUACGAUUUUUUGGGCAACUAAAGAGUCGUGGCGUACGGGUGAGUAAUGCGUAGGGAUCUGCCUAUUAGAAUGGGAUAACUUAGGGAAACUUAGGAUAAUACCGUAUAUGUUCGAGAGAAUAAAGUUGUGCGCAAGCAUAGCGCUAAUAGAUGAACCUACGUCGGAUUAGCUUGUUGGUAGGGUAAAGGCCUACCAAGGCAAUGAUCCGUAGCUGGUCUGAGAGGACGAACAGCCACACUGGGACUGAGACACGGCCCAGACUCCUACGGGAGGCAGCAGUGGGGAAUAUUGGACAAUGGGCGAAAGCCUGAUCCAGCGAUGCCGCGUGUGUGAAGAAGGCCUACGGGUUGUAAAGCACUUUCGGUAGGGAAGAAGUAAUUAUGGCUAAUAUCCAUGAUUAUUGACGUUACUUACAGAAGAAGCACCGGCUAACUCUGUGCCAGCAGCCGCGGUAAUACAGAGGGUGCAAGCGUUAAUCGGAAUUACUGGGCGUAAAGGGUGUGUAGGUGGUUAUUUAAGUCAGAUGUGAAAACCCCGAGCUUAACUUGGGACGUGCGUUUGAGACUGAAUGACUA